RNAcentral lists this unclassified non-coding RNA (298 nucleotides) under uncultured Thozetella. RNAcentral describes it as "sequence contains ITS1". The stretch from base 1 to 105 matches the Rfam family "5.8S ribosomal RNA", at positions 50 to 154 of the family's 154-position model. The record is from RNAcentral. Lineage: Eukaryota; Fungi; Ascomycota; Sordariomycetes; Chaetosphaeriales; Chaetosphaeriaceae.
GAAAUGCGAUAAGUAAUGUGAAUUGCAGAAUUCAGUGAAUCAUCGAAUCUUUGAACGCACAUUGCGCCCGCCGGUAUUCCGGCGGGCAUGCCUGUUCGAGCGUCAUUUCAACCCUCAGGCCUCGCCUGGUGUUGGGGCUCCUGCGCACUGCAGGCCCUCAAAGGCAGCGGCGGGUGUGCCCACGAACCGAACGCAGUAGUCUUCUCUCGUUCUGGUCGCGCGGGCGCGCUCCGGCCGUUAAACCCCUUAUACUCCAAUGGUUGACCUCGGAUCAGGUAGGAAUACCCGCUGAACUUAA